Molecule: long non-coding RNA, 746 nt
Organism: Syngnathus typhle (broad-nosed pipefish)
Lineage: Eukaryota; Metazoa; Chordata; Actinopteri; Syngnathiformes; Syngnathidae
Exons: 2
Source: RefSeq, a predicted model, not a curated record
UGAUAAAAACGGCGAGGAAAAAAUUAAAACACACACCCACUGGACAUACCGUACGGGUGCCAUAAGAGCUACGUUUGUUCCCCUCCGAUCCUGUGGGUGGCACUAACGAGCAUUACAAGAUGCAUUCCGACUUCAAGACAUAGACCAGAAUUUUAUCAGCUGUCGGUGACAUGCCAGAAAACCUUUGUACCUCAAGAUGAAUGUGAGUAGCAUCAUCUGCAGGACCAGGAAGGGGUAAGCAAAACUUUCCCUGAGAGGAGGAGUCCACAUCACACGUGUGCUCUGACGCAAAAAAAACAUGAGCUCAUUUUUAUUCAGUCACAUUUCAGUCACCUCACACUCACCUCGCCGUGAUUGAAGAAGAAACACACGGUGGUCACAAUGCCGCCCAGUCGGCUUCCGCUGGAAAGGAACCUUUAUUAACCCUCAUUCUAAUCGUUUCUUUUUUUUUUUUAACCGACCGGCCAAACGAGGAUAAUUACCUGAGAAGAUAUUUGCAGAGGGCACAGGAUCUCCACGGCAACUGCAAGUACCUUCGCAACUGUCCACUGGCGUGAGGCCUUCUCCUCUGUUGAUGGACCAGCACAUCUUGGUGGGAACACCAAAGUAGCCCAUGACGGACGUGUACACCCGGUACCAGCUGGCUAGAACCACCUGCAGCGCGCACACACACACAAUCAGUCGGCCCGAUCAGUAUGGAUUAUUUUUUCUGCUGAUGCAGAUUUUAUAUAACAGUUGCGAAAUAA